GAUGAACGCUGGCGGCGUGCCUAAUACAUGCAAGUCGAGCGGAGAGGGGACGGAUGAGUAACACGUCGAUAACCUCCUAUAAGACUGGGGUAACUUCGGGAAACCGGAGCUAAAACGGAGACUUAUCGAUGGAUAGGGGGUGCAUUGGCUAGUUGGUAAGCUAACGGCGUACCAAGGCAACGAUGCAUAGCCGACCGGAGAGGGCGAUCGGCCAGACUGGAACGGAGACACGGUCCAGACUCGUACGGGAGGGAGCAGUAGGGAACCUGCCGCAAUGGGGGAAAGCCUGACGGAGCAACGCCGCGUGAGUGAUGAAGGUGCUCGGUUCGUAAAACUCGGUUAUUAGGGAAGCGGUACCUAAACAGAAAGCCACGGCUAACUACGUGCCAGCAGCCGCGGUAAUAC
RNAcentral lists this ribosomal RNA (405 nucleotides) under uncultured bacterium. RNAcentral describes it as "partial 16S ribosomal RNA". It matches the Rfam family "Bacterial small subunit ribosomal RNA", at positions 28 to 526 of the family's 1533-position model. The record is from RNAcentral.